This 1370-nucleotide ribosomal RNA is filed under the name Lactiplantibacillus plantarum. RNAcentral's name for it is "bacterial SSU rRNA". It matches the Rfam family "Bacterial small subunit ribosomal RNA", at positions 76 to 1434 of the family's 1533-position model. The record is from RNAcentral. Lineage: Bacteria; Bacillati; Bacillota; Bacilli; Lactobacillales; Lactobacillaceae.
GAUUUACAUUUGAGUGAGUGGCGAACUGGUGAGUAACACGUGGGAAACCUGCCCAGAAGCGGGGGAUAACACCUGGAAACAGAUGCUAAUACCGCAUAACAACUUGGACCGCAUGGUCCGAGUUUGAAAGAUGGCUUCGGCUAUCACUUUUGGAUGGUCCCGCGGCGUAUUAGCUAGAUGGUGNGGUAACGGCUCACCAUGGCAAUGAUACGUAGCCGACCUGAGAGGGUAAUCGGCCACAUUGGGACUGAGACACGGCCCAAACUCCUACGGGAGGCAGCAGUAGGGAAUCUUCCACAAUGGACGAAAGUCUGAUGGAGCAACGCCGCGUGAGUGAAGAAGGGUUUCGGCUCGUAAAACUCUGUUGUUAAAGAAGAACAUAUCUGAGAGUAACUGUUCAGGUAUUGACGGUAUUUAACCAGAAAGCCACGGCUAANUACGUGCCAGCAGCCGCGGUAAUACGUAGGUGGCAAGCGUUGUCCGGAUUUAUUGGGCGUAAAGCGAGCGCAGGCGGUUUUUUAAGUCUGAUGUGAAAGCCUUCGGCUCAACCGAAGAAGUGCAUCGGAAACUGGGAAACUUGAGUGCAGAAGAGGACAGUGGAACUCCAUGUGUAGCGGUGAAAUGCGUAGAUAUAUGGAAGAACACCAGUGGCGAAGGCGGCUGUCUGGUCUGUAACUGACGCUGAGGCUCGAAAGUAUGGGUAGCAAACAGGAUUAGAUACCCUGGUAGUCCAUACCGUAAACGAUGAAUGCUAAGUGUUGGAGGGUUUCCGCCCUUCAGUGCUGCAGCUAACGCAUUAAGCAUUCCGCCUGGGGAGUACGGCCGCAAGGCUGAAACUCAAAGGAAUUGACGGGGGCCCGCACAAGCGGUGGAGCAUGUGGUUUAAUUCGAAGCUACGCGAAGAACCUUACCAGGUCUUGACAUACUAUGCAAAUCUAAGAGAUUAGACGUUCCCUUCGGGGACAUGGAUACAGGUGGUGCAUGGUUGUCGUCAGCUCGUGUCGUGAGAUGUUGGGUUAAGUCCCGCAACGAGCGCAACCCUUAUUAUCAGUUGCCAGCAUUAAGUUGGGCACUCUGGUGAGACUGCCGGUGACAAACCGGAGGAAGGUGGGGAUGACGUCAAAUCAUCAUGCCCCUUAUGACCUGGGCUACACACGUGCUACAAUGGAUGGUACAACGAGUUGCGAACUCGCGAGAGUAAGCUAAUCUCUUAAAGCCAUUCUCAGUUCGGAUUGUAGGCUGCAACUCGCCUACAUGAAGUCGGAAUCNCUAGUAAUCGCGGAUCAGCAUGCCGCGGUGAAUACGUUCCCGGGCCUUGUACACACCGCCCGUUCACACCAUGAGAGUUUGUAACACCCAAAGNCGGUGGG